RNAcentral lists this ribosomal RNA (586 nucleotides) under Nipaecoccus viridis. Its description in RNAcentral is "eukaryotic LSU rRNA". It matches the Rfam family "Eukaryotic large subunit ribosomal RNA", at positions 502 to 860 of the family's 3401-position model. Lineage: Eukaryota; Metazoa; Arthropoda; Insecta; Hemiptera; Pseudococcidae. The record is from RNAcentral.
CGCGUUGUAGGCUCGAUAUUUCCGUCAUCGUUAUUUCGGACGUCGCGACCCGUUUGGUGUCGGUUUGAGGAGACGCGUGAAAGUUCGUUAGCGCGUCGGAGCUUCGGUUUCGGCGCGUCGGCGAGUACGCGUUCUAUUUCUAGCCGACUCGCCAGACGGUACGUAAUGGUGAUCGCGGCGGCCUCAGCGUCGCCGCUCGACGCCUGUCUGCGACGAAUCUUCGAGUCUCUUUCCGACCCGUCUUGAAACACGGACCAAGGAGUCUAACGUGCGCGCGAGUCGCGGGGUAUCGAACGGUCGGUGUUCGCAUCGGCCGUUCGUUAUAAUACGAAACCCGUCUCGUUUUACGAAAGGCGCAAUGAAAGUGAAUUUUGGGGAAGAUGACGUUACCGAGUUCACGUUCCGUACUCUCGUAGUGCGGCCGGUCGUCCGCAUUCCCAGGGUGUCUCAAAGUCCGAUUCUAUUGCGGACUGCCGCCUCUUCGGGGACGGUAGUCGGAUUCUAUCGAGCUGAGGCGCACCUAUAGCGUGCACGUUGGUACCCGAAAGAUGGUGAACUAUGCCCGGCCAGGAUGAAGUCAGGGGAA